Molecule: transfer RNA, 61 nt
Filed under: Gryllotalpa pluvialis
Lineage: Eukaryota; Metazoa; Arthropoda; Insecta; Orthoptera; Gryllotalpidae
Description: tRNA-Cys
Source: RNAcentral
AGUCUUAUAUUCAAUGAUGAUUUUAGACUGCAAUUCUAAAGGUGUAGAAAUACUAAGACUU